This 632-nucleotide ribosomal RNA is filed under the name uncultured Sphingomonas sp. RNAcentral describes it as "bacterial SSU rRNA". It matches the Rfam family "Bacterial small subunit ribosomal RNA", at positions 83 to 750 of the family's 1533-position model. The record is from RNAcentral. Lineage: Bacteria; Pseudomonadati; Pseudomonadota; Alphaproteobacteria; Sphingomonadales; Sphingomonadaceae.
UUCGGGUAGUUAGUGGCGCACGGGUGCGUAACGCGUGGGAAUCUGCCCCUUGGUUCGGAAUAACAGUUGGAAACGACUGCUAAUACCGGAUGAUGACGUAAGUCCAAAGAUUUAUCGCCGAGGGAUGAGCCCGCGUAGGAUUAGGUAGUUGGUGUGGUAAAGGCGCACCAAGCCGACGAUCCUUAGCUGGUCUGAGAGGAUGAUCAGCCACACUGGGACUGAGACACGGCCCAGACUCCUACGGGAGGCAGCAGUGGGGAAUAUUGGACAAUGGGCGAAAGCCUGAUCCAGCAAUGCCGCGUGAGUGAUGAAGGCCUUAGGGUUGUAAAGCUCUUUUACCCGGGAUGAUAAUGACAGUACCGGGAGAAUAAGCUCCGGCUAACUCCGUGCCAGCAGCCGCGGUAAUACGGAGGGAGCUAGCGUUAUUCGGAAUUACUGGGCGUAAAGCGCACGUAGGCGGCUUUGUAAGUAAGAGGUGAAAGCCCAGAGCUCAACUCUGGAAUUGCCUUUUAGACUGCAUCGCUUGAAUCAUGGAGAGGUCAGUGGAAUUCCGAGUGUAGAGGUGAAAUUCGUAGAUAUUCGGAAGAACACCAGUGGCGAAGGCGGCUGACUGGACAUGUAUUGACGCUGAG